UGGAAUGGGGAGAAACCGAAUAAUUAUCAUUAGCAGUCUCAACAUAUAUUGCUAGAUAAAAGGCCACAUGUUGGAAGACUAAUCAAGAACGUUCCAACUCAUCAACAAAUACAAACUUUUGAGCUCCCAAAGAUCCUUCAUCAUUUCCCUAGAAAUUAGAGGCCUCUUUCUUUCUUUCUUUUUUUUUUUUCUCUCACAUUGUUUAGGAGAACCCACGGUAAGAGUAUCCUCUCUCUACCGCUUCAUAUAACAAAUAUGUCCUCCAAAAACCAGGUUGACUUUUUUAGAGGAGGUAGCCAAUCCGUGUCAGGAGGUAGCCAAUUCGUAUCGGGAUUAUCCAAUGCCCACCCCAAAGCGUCCACUAUCAGCGGAGUAGACUUCGCGAAUGCACACCCUAGCUACCAAAAAAUGUAACGCAAUUCAUCCGACAACGUAUCAACGUAAGCCUUGAUUGACACUUCCCCAAGAUACUUCGCCUCCACGAGUUUUGCUUUGAUUUUCUUCCCCAUGGAAACAGGAUCAUCGGAACCAGAAGGGAUUGGGUAAUCCUCGACGUUCCAUAAGACACAUGUCUUACCAUCUGCGAAAGGAGAACAGAUACACAAUUACGAGACUGGGAAAUAUUAAAAUAAGAUCAUGAUGAAUACCAUAUAACAGAUGAAAGAUUAUAUUUAGAUUUAGGUUAUUGUGAUCUUACGUACUUAACUACUUAUGUAUGAAUCGAAGUCUGGUCCAUAUAUACUAUCGUCAGGUAACCGCGGAUCACAAUAACGCACCGGCGAAUCAGGGUUAGCUUCGUCCGAGAACGACGGAUCAGACAUAGCUUCGUUGGAGAACGACGGAUCAGAGAUAGCUUCGUCGGAGAACGGCGGAUCAGACAUAGCUUCGUUGGAAAACGGCGGAUCAGGCAUAGCCAAAGAUAAAUGGGUGACGUGAAGUUUGGUUAAUUAUUUUCAAAAA
Molecule: long non-coding RNA, 960 nt
Organism: Camelina sativa (false flax)
Lineage: Eukaryota; Viridiplantae; Streptophyta; Magnoliopsida; Brassicales; Brassicaceae
Source: RefSeq, a predicted model, not a curated record